Long non-coding RNA from Felis catus (domestic cat), 1392 nucleotides. RefSeq lists it as uncharacterized. The record is from RefSeq and is a predicted model, not a curated record. The transcript has 3 exons. Lineage: Eukaryota; Metazoa; Chordata; Mammalia; Carnivora; Felidae.
CGCGCAGGCCCCCUGGGCCACGCCCGCCCGCCGGCCCUGCCCUCGGCGCCGCCUCCGCCACCUGCACCUGUCUUCCCAGAUGCUCCCGAGUCAUUGGGCGGCCCGCGCACACCCAAUCCGCGCCGUCCAAUCCCGUGGCCACUAACCGUUGCGGGGCUGAGCCUUUGAAACGUGGCCGGUCCACAGAACGCGUGGUCCAUGUCCAUGAAACGUCCAGAAUGGGCUAACGCGCAGCGACGGAAAGUAGACUAGCCGUUGCCAGAGGCUGGGCGAUGGAGAGAACGCGAAGCGACUGGGUGUGCGGUUCCUUGGGGGGCGACGAAAGCGUUCUCUGUUAGGGGUGACGGUUGUACGGAAAACCAUUGCAUGCUAUUUCAAACGGUGAAUUCUAUGCAUAUCAUCAUCCCGUGUCAAUAGGAAGGUUUCCACAUCACUAUUUUUAAAGGUAAUUGACUUAACUUCAAUUCAUGAGAGAAAUGCACGCACAUGGCAAAUAUCCAGAGAGUGUAGAAGAAUAUAAAAUGGGAUAUUGCCAAUUUCUUUUCCCUCAUCUGUAACCCCCCUGCUCCCAUUCUGUAGAAGCUUUUAGCUUCUACUUUGUAAAAAAUAUUGUUGUGUCUGUUCCUUAAUUUAGAAAGAACCUAUUGUUUCCUUACUCUAAAAAAUGAUAAAUUUAUUGCCAUUUGCACCAGCUCUCCUAUCCUCUCCACUUCCUGAUUUUUGUUACUUAAUUUUAUUUCUUCUAGAAAUAAAAGCGAACACCCUUUAUGCCUUAAAAUAUUACACUUAAAACUUUGAAUCUUGACUUUGCCAUUUCUGAGAGUCUUAACUUAGUGUGAAAUGAAGUUGAGGACAUUGGUGAUUCCACUUACAUUCCUCCUCACCUUGCCUCUUCCCUCCCACUUUUUGGUAAUUUACUAAUUUUCCAUCACCCUGGUGAAUGAUAAAUACAUCUUCCAUAUAUAUCACUUGGUUGAUUCAAAAAGUUAAAGUUACUUUACAGUGUCACCAUGGAAAUGGCAUCCCUCAAAAGAGUUCCUUUUUUAGCUUGUGGUGUUUCAGAUUGAUAAUUCUGCCAUUCUCAUUUCAUUUCCUGAAAUUCAGGGUCGGCUUGUGAAAAGUUGUUAAACAACAUGCUAAAUGUGAAAUGUCAAUCCUCACUCUAAACUUUCCCUGUUCAGAGCAUCAAAUGAAGAAUUCAUUGGGUUAUAGCGGCUUUCUGAUUUUGGUAGUCCAUUGAAGAAGGGAGUUUGAAAGUUGUUGUAUACUGAUAACGAUUGUCUGCCCAUGUCCUGCCUGAAAUAGCAUGAUUGUUUAUGAAGGGUAUCUUUAAUAAAGCUGGAUACAGUUUGGCUUGGGAAAAAAAAAAAAAGCUAAAGGUUAAAAGCAACA